RNAcentral lists this ribosomal RNA (454 nucleotides) under Neisseria bacilliformis. Its description in RNAcentral is "bacterial SSU rRNA". It matches the Rfam family "Bacterial small subunit ribosomal RNA", at positions 30 to 474 of the family's 1533-position model. Lineage: Bacteria; Pseudomonadati; Pseudomonadota; Betaproteobacteria; Neisseriales; Neisseriaceae. The record is from RNAcentral.
AUUGAACGCUGGCGGCAUGCUUUACACAUGCAAGUCGGACGGCAGCACAGAGGAGCUUGCUUCUUGGGUGGCGAGUGGCGAACGGGUGAGUAACGCAUCGGAACGUACCGAGUAAUGGGGGAUAACUGUCCGAAAGGACAGCUAAUACCGCAUACGCCCUGAGGGGGAAAGCGGGGGAUCUUAGGACCUCGCGUUAUUCGAGCGGCCGAUGUCUGAUUAGCUGGUUGGCGGGGUAAAGGCCCACCAAGGCGACGAUCAGUAGCGGGUCUGAGAGGAUGAUCCGCCACACUGGGACUGAGACACGGCCCAGACUCCUACGGGAGGCAGCAGUGGGGAAUUUUGGACAAUGGGCGCAAGCCUGAUCCAGCCAUGCCGCGUGUCUGAAGAAGGCCUUCGGGUUGUAAAGGACUUUUGUCAGGGAAGAAAAGGGGCAUGUUAAUACCGUGCUCUGAUG